AGCUUGAUUGUAAGCAAGUGGAUAAAUGGCACCUUUUGUAAGCUCUUCAUAUUCAUAAAGAGCUUACAAAAGGUGCCAAUUAUGAGUGUGUUAAUGAAUAUGGUA
Molecule: microRNA precursor, 105 nt
Filed under: Medicago truncatula (barrel medic)
Lineage: Eukaryota; Viridiplantae; Streptophyta; Magnoliopsida; Fabales; Fabaceae
Description: miR2649 stem-loop (mtr-MIR2649)
Source: miRBase by way of RNAcentral